GAAGGAUCAUUUGCCUCUCCAGUAGCCUCUGACCAGCUGCCUUGGAGCCAUCAGGAUGCCUCUGCCUUCUCUCCCAGCAGCUAUUUUGUCUCAUAUGAUAGCUAUAAACAAUGUGCCGCCUCCUCCACUUCGCAGUUUACCAAAGUUGAAAAUGUCUAAGUACAUUGAUUAUGGUCAGUUGAAUGCAUUGUGCCAUAUGAGAGGACUACAAUCUAGCCAGAGUUCUUACAGUAUCCUGUCAGCUCACAAUAUGUUUAUAAAGCAAUAUCCUAAAAUAUUCCUGAAGAAAAAAACCAGACUGCCUACACUCUUCAAACAAGAGGAAAAAAGAGAACCUACUGAAGGCACCGAAGAACUUCAACCCCAACAACCUGAUGAUUCUCACAAUAUAGCUAUCCAUGUUAAAAAAGCACGUGGUGGCCCUACUUUAUAUGAACCAAAAAAAUUUGAAGAGAAGUUAGUGGAAUUCCUGGAUAUUUUAAAGAAAUUGCCCAUUUACAGGACAUUGCGUGAACACAGAACUGUGUGGAAGAUGCUGAAAACAAUUCCAGAUUUGACCUCUCAGCUAACUGAUGAGCAUCUGAAAACACUUAGUAGGAGUGUCAUUUCUGAAACCUGGGUAAAAGGCAGCACAGUGGUUGGAAAUGAUGGAUUUUAUAUAAUACUAAAAGGUUCAGCUCGACCUCAAACAAAGGCAUAUAAAGAUCUGAUUGACGAAAAUGAGUCAGCAUCCUCUUUCAUACCUCAGAGUUUCCAAGGAUUUGUUUCCAACGAAGACUUCAAAAACAUACUUGCUGAGAUGCACACACCUUCAUGUGAUCCAAUGAAUUCACAAUGGAGAGGAUUCAUUUUGGCACUGAGCUAUGCUGGCCUGGGGAAUGAGGUGACACAGCUUCGACAAUGGAGUACCUUUGGAACCCUGGAAGUUACAACUCAGACUGAAUCAGACACAAAGGAGUACUCAGUGAUCACAGAAGAAGAUUGUGAAAUUCUUAAAAUCCCAGCAAAGGAUUAUGUGAGGUUAAAAUCGGAAAACAUAAAGCUUGAAAAUAAAGAAAAGAUGAAAUUAAUUCAUAAAUGUCCAUAUUAUGAGGAGUGGCCGACUUUAUCCAUAUGUGAGCUAGUUGCACUCAUUAAAUGGAAAAAAUUUCCUCCAGGUCAUGUGAUAGUGGAAAGUGGGAAGAUAAUUUCUUUUGUGGCUUAUAUUAAUUCUGGAUAUUGUAAUAUUUAUAGAAAUAUUGUAGGACUUAUGAAACUACAACCAAAAAAAGUGAAAAAAAAUCAAAAACUUGUUUGUAUGGGCAAACUUAAUGAGAAGGAAUCCUUUGGUGAGAUUAGUGUUCUUCUUCAAGUUCCUUUCACAUGCACAAUAGUUACUGGAAAAGAGGUUGAGAUGGCAAUCAUUGAAGAUAAGGACCUAUUUGAAUUAGACCCAGUGACCAAGCAACUUAUGCUCCAUACAGCUAAACCAACUUUUGGUCAUCUGAAAGAUGAGGAUGUUAAAAAUGUAUAUUUGGAAAGGGAACAAAAAAAGGAAUGGAAAAAUUUCAAGGUGAAACUAGUCGUCAUAGCUGGACUUUUCUGAUGCUGAGCUUGACCAUUUUUCAACUGCUGCUUUUGAUAAAAGACAUAAUCAUCUGGGAAAUAUAAAUGCAGUUUCUGGAGAGAGCUGAGUCCUUCUGAGAAUGAUUGCCUGGAUAAAACAAUGAAAAACUCCUUGUAUUAUAAUGGAAUUAUUCCAGGCUUUGGAAAAUGGGACCAUUGCUGGACCAGCAUUCCUAGGAAUCUCAAGGAUACUCUAAUCAGUUAUUAAAAAUGUCAACUUAUAAGAAAUUGGGAAUUUCAGCAUGGA
RNA transcript from Neofelis nebulosa (Clouded leopard), 1852 nucleotides. It is a transcript of the gene named cyclic nucleotide binding domain containing 1, with no coding region annotated. The transcript is spliced from 15 exons. Lineage: Eukaryota; Metazoa; Chordata; Mammalia; Carnivora; Felidae. The record is from RefSeq and is a predicted model, not a curated record.